This 425-nucleotide ribosomal RNA is filed under the name uncultured bacterium. RNAcentral describes it as "partial 16S ribosomal RNA". It matches the Rfam family "Bacterial small subunit ribosomal RNA", at positions 354 to 796 of the family's 1533-position model. The record is from RNAcentral.
GUGGGGAAUCUUAGACAAUGGGGGCAACCCUGAUCUAGCCAUGCCGCGUGAGUGAUGAAGGCCUUAGGGUCGUAAAGCUCUUUCGCUGGGGAAGAUAAUGACGGUACCCAGUAAAGAAACCCCGGCUAACUCCGUGCCAGCAGCCGCGGUAAUACGGAGGGGGUUAGCGUUGUUCGGAAUUACUGGGCGUAAAGCGCGCGUAGGCGGAUUGGAAAGUUGGGGGUGAAAUCCCGGGGCUCAACCCUGGAAUGGCCUUCAAAACUCCCAGUCUUGAGGUCGAGAGAGGUGAGUGGAAUUCCGAGUGUAGAGGUGAAAUUCGUAGAUAUUCGGAAGAACACCAGUGGCGAAGGCGACACACUGGCUCAUUACUGACGCUGAGGCGCGAAAGCGUGGGGAGCAAACAGGAUUAGAUACCCCGGUAGUCC